This 269-nucleotide long non-coding RNA is filed under the name Brassica napus (rape). Its description in RNAcentral is "long non-coding RNA (BNAP_LNC024908)". The record is from RNAcentral. Lineage: Eukaryota; Viridiplantae; Streptophyta; Magnoliopsida; Brassicales; Brassicaceae.
AAAAACUUAAUAUUUUCGUAGGGGGUUAACACAUAUAUUUUGAGAAAAUGACAAGAAUUUGACAAUAUUAUUUUAAUGCAUAGUUGCAUCUUGCACUAACAUAUGAUGAUGCUCAAAGAGGUUUUGAGCCUUUGUUGUCUCCGUUUUUCAAGAAAAUAGUGAUUCUAUAGUGGUUAUUCCAACUAUUUAUGGAGUAUUAUGAAGUUUUGCUAAAUUAAUUGAUAAAAAAUUAUAAAGAUUCUCAUAUACCAUGAAAGAUAGUUUAACAU